RNAcentral lists this ribosomal RNA (320 nucleotides) under uncultured eukaryote. Its description in RNAcentral is "partial 18S ribosomal RNA". It matches the Rfam family "Eukaryotic small subunit ribosomal RNA", at positions 1470 to 1796 of the family's 1831-position model. The record is from RNAcentral.
CCCCUAGAUGUUCUGGGCCGCACGCGCGCUACACUGAACAGUUCAACAAGUCUUAACCUUGGCCGAUAGGUCUGGGUAAUCUUUGAACGCUGUUCGUGAUUGGGAUAGACCUUUGCAAUUAUGGGUCUUCAACGAGGAAUUCCUAGUAAACGCAAGUCAUCAGCUUGCAUUGAUUACGUCCCUGCCCUUUGUACACACCGCCCGUCGCACCUACCGAUUGAAUGGUCCGGUGAAAUCUCGGGACGGCGGCUCGGUCGCUCGCGUCCGACUGCUGAAACUUGAUUAAACCAUAUCAUUUAGAGGAAGGUGAAGUCGUAACA